This is a non-coding RNA of Macaca mulatta (Rhesus monkey), 801 nucleotides long. The record is from RefSeq and is a predicted model, not a curated record. NCBI's taxonomy places the organism in Eukaryota, Metazoa, Chordata, Mammalia, Primates, Cercopithecidae.
CCAGGAUGGUCUUGAUCUCUUGACCUCGUGAUCCGCCCACCUCAGCCUCCCAAAGUGCUGGGAUUACAGGCGUGAACCACAGCGCCUGGCCCACGAUUACUAGGCAUUUCCAAACCACUUGCCAGGGUGGUCCGGAGCCUGCCGUGGCCCGGUCUGGCCCCUCUGCCUGCCGCAUCGCCAAGUGUAGGCUUUAGAUGGGACGCAGCAGAACGCGGUUCCUCAUGGAGUUAGGGCCAGCAUGUGAAAAAAGCUUCCAGGCCCCAAAAGGCGUAGGGCCAGGGCCACAGCUGGGCUCUGGAUCCCUUCACCAGGGGCAGCCCACUUCAAGUCCUCAAGAUCUCCCAGUCUAGACCCCAGAAGGAGGAGUCUCAAGUUAUUCCUUAGGAAGUCUCAGUGGACAAACAAUGUGCUGUUUCGGGAAAAAAUAGACCUGGCAUGAUUGUUUCUUCCCAGCUUUCCCGGGCAUUCUGAGAGCUUUCGUUUCUCCUCAGAGGAGGGUUCUUUCAAAGUCACCUCCUCCGUGAAGCCUUUCCUGAUUCCCCUGAACAAGGAGAGGAAAUUGAGACCCAGAGACAUGAAAUAACUUGCCCGAGUCACCAGGAAGAGGCAGCACCGGGCCUGAGGCUCACGCUGCUGACUUCAUGUUAACCAACCACCGUCCUGCCUCUUCCCGCCCUGGUCUGUCUCCCCCAGCCUUCACCUCCUCCUGCAACUGCAGAUAGAAGCUGCUGCUUCCUUUGUUUGUCAUUCUGAAGUUGUCUGUUUUGUCCAUCUUUAUAAAGUUCUAUGUUAAGAACCAUC